CCUACGGGAGGCAGCAGUGAGGAAUAUUGGUCAAUGGGCGCGAGCCUGAUCCAGCCAAGUCGCGUGAGGGAUGAAGGUUCUAUGGAUCUUAAACCUCUUUUAUAAGGGAAUAAAGUGUGGGACGUGUCCUAUUUUGUAUGUACCUUAUGCAUACGGAUCGGCUAACUCCGUGCUAGCAGCCGCGGUAAUUCGGAGGAUCCGAGCGUUAUCCGGAUUUAUUGGGUUUAAAGGGUGCGUAGGCGGCAUUGUAAGUCCGCGGUGAAAGUCUGUGGCGCAACCAUAGAAUUGCCGUUGAAACUGGGGGGCUUGAGUAUGUUUGAGGCAGGCGGAAUGCGUGGUGUAGCGGUGAAAUGCUUAGAUAUUACGCAGAACCCCGAUGGCGAAGGCAGCCUGCCAAGCCAUGACUGACGCUGAUGCACGAAAGCGUGGGGAUCAAACAGGAUUAGAUACCCCUGUAGUC
This 460-nucleotide ribosomal RNA is filed under the name uncultured bacterium. RNAcentral's name for it is "partial 16S ribosomal RNA". It matches the Rfam family "Bacterial small subunit ribosomal RNA", at positions 338 to 795 of the family's 1533-position model. The record is from RNAcentral.